AAGUCGAAAAUGCGGGUUGUUCAUCACAUCAACAGUUAUGGACCACUCUUUACCAUAUAAGUGACUAUGGGAGCUUCGACUGUAUGAGCGAUAUGAUUUACAGAGCUGUUGAACGGUACCCGGACGCUGGCAGCGACCCAUGCUUUUGCGAAGAUCGGACGACCACUGCCGCUACAUCAACCACUUACGCCACAACCACCGUCAGUAACACUGGAGUACCACAAGCAUGCUCAGACCUCGAUGCCAUUGCAUGUCAAACAGACACUAGUCGGU
Long non-coding RNA from Mya arenaria, 273 nucleotides. RefSeq lists it as uncharacterized. NCBI's taxonomy places the organism in Eukaryota, Metazoa, Mollusca, Bivalvia, Myida, Myidae. The record is from RefSeq and is a predicted model, not a curated record. The transcript is spliced from 4 exons.